AAAUUAACAUUUAGAAUCUAAAUUCUGUGAUGAGCGCCAGUACUUAGGCAAAAAGAAAAAAAAAUACUAAGUACCCCAAUUGUGACUCUUCUUUUUAUAUUGUUCGGAGAAGAACAAAAACAAGUUCUUUGGAAAAAAAAAAUUCUCUUUCGAUAAAGCAGCUCGUUGUCCCUCCGUCUCUGAUUUCCUCCUCCACCGUCUCUGCCGUUGUGGCUGAACCAUCUCACCACAUCCUCCUUCCUCGCCUUCUUCUCAGCCUCCUUCUCCACCUCCCGUUCCCCCGACCCAGCUAACCUAAACCCUAACUCAUCUCCGAUUGAACCCACCUCUCUCAAUUCGCCGCCGCCGCUUCCACCUCCAUCCUCCAUAAAGGAUUUUGGGUUAGGGUUCCUGGACGGCGAUGACGAGUUUCCUCUCAUGAGCUUUCUUCGAUCCUGUUUAACAGGGACUAUUUGAAGAUCUCAAAGCUAACAGGACAGAAGACGACCAGGUUAGGCUGUUCCAGCCUGACGAAAACGCUCUUAGUAUGCAAACAGGUGCUGAUAGGCUUUGUAUGACACCACCUUCUGUGGAGCAAUUCAUCGAAGCAGUUAAGCAAACUGUACGUGCCAUCAAGAAAUGGAAUGGGUUCCUCCUCCGGGUAAAGGAGUUUUGUAUACAAGGCCUCGGCUAAUAGGGAGUGGCACUAUCCUUGGAGCAGCUCCAGCACCUGAGUACAAGUUCCUCAUUUACGCAUCUCCCGUAGGAGAUUACCAUAAGGUAAGCACAAGCCUGAAACUUAAAGUUGAUCAUAAGUAUCGCCGAGCCCAUUCACUUGUUUUCAGAAGCGUGGAUGCUUAUUACUUUUGUUUCCAUGAGAUGUGAUCUGGUGAAGAUGCUUUUGAGACUGCAAAGAGUUGACGUUUCUUCUUCUCCUUAAUCUCAUUAGCUUUUGGUUUUAGUUCUUAUUCCUUCUCUCUGUUCUUGAGAGUUUAUUAAUUUUCUGAAUUUUUUGUUUUGCAGAAAAGAAGAAUGGUUGUAAUAUUUUGACCACGUUUAAGCAAAACGAGAGACUUGAAUCAGUUUCAGUUACAUCUCAUCAUUACAGUUCAUCAAAAGCAGGUUUUGGUUACAAUAAACUUUUCUCUAGAACAAUUGGAACGUGCUUUGGAUACAAGAUCAAAUCUGGUGGAGUUUUAUAUUGGACAAAAACAGAAGAGGGCGACAACUGCUGCAAAAACCGGUUGCAAGAUGAUCAAAUCUUUUUGAGUUACUGUGUGUGUUUGUUGCUUGGAACUGCAACUUAUGGCAUUGAUUCUCUCCCAGGCUAGGCAAGCUCUUCUCACUCAAAGAAUUGCUUCAGCACUUCAAGCAGCCAUGAUGUUAAGACCACGUUUUGUAAGACAUUUGGUAUGAUGUUUAAGACUUGAUGUUUUGUAAGACUUGUUUUUAAUAUGAUGUUUGUCCUUGUGAUGUUUUGUGUAAGACAUGUUUGGAUGUUUAAUAAAAAUAAGAGUGUUUUAAAUGCAAA
Molecule: long non-coding RNA, 1510 nt
Organism: Eutrema salsugineum
Lineage: Eukaryota; Viridiplantae; Streptophyta; Magnoliopsida; Brassicales; Brassicaceae
Exons: 8
Source: RefSeq, a predicted model, not a curated record